Acanthosepion pharaonis is the source of this 105-nucleotide non-coding RNA. The record is from the annotation of a GenBank genome assembly. NCBI's taxonomy places the organism in Eukaryota, Metazoa, Mollusca, Cephalopoda, Sepiida, Sepiidae.
UUACGGCCACAUCAUGUUGAAAAACCAGUUCCCAUACGAUCACCGAAGUUAAGCAACGUCUAACCUGGUCAGUAUCUAGAUGGGUGACUGGUUGGGUAGUCUACA